CAUUACCGAGUUUACAACUCCCAAACCCCUGUGAACAUACCUAUACGUUGCCUCGGCGGAUCAGCCCGCGCCCCGUAAAACGGGACGGCCCGCCCGAGGACCCCUAAACUCUGUUUUUAGUGGAACUUCUGAGUAAAACAAACAAAUAAAUCAAAACUUUCAACAACGGAUCUCUUGGUUCUGGCAUCGAUGAAGAACGCAGCAAAAUGCGAUAAGUAAUGUGAAUUGCAGAAUUCAGUGAAUCAUCGAAUCUUUGAACGCACAUUGCGCCCGCCAGUAUUCUGGCGGGCAUGCCUGUUCGAGCGUCAUUUCAACCCUCAAGCUCAGCUUGGUGUUGGGACUCGCGGUAACCCGCGUUCCCCAAAUCGAUUGGCGGUCACGUCGAGCUUCCAUAGCGUAGUAAUCAUACACCUCGUUACUGGUAAUCGUCGCGGCCACGCCGUUAAACCCCAACUUCUGAAUGUUGACCUCGGAUCAGGUAGGAAUACCCGCUGAACUUAAGCAUAUCAAUAAGCGGAGGAAAAGAAACCAACAGGGAUUGCCCUAGUAACGGCGAGUGAAGCGGCAACAGCUCAAAUUUGAAAUCUGGCUCUCGGGCCCGAGUUGUAAUUUGUAGAGGAUGCUUUUGAUGCGGUGCCUUCCGAGUUCCCUGGAACGGGACGCCAUAGAGGGUGAGAGCCCCGUCUGGUUGGAUGCCAAAUCUCUGUAAAGCUCCUUCGACGAGUCGAGUAGUUUGGGAAUGCUGCUCUAAAUGGGAGGUAUAUGUCUUCUAAAGCUAAAUACCGGCCAGAGACCGAUAGCGCACAAGUAGAGUGAUCGAAAGAUGAAAAGCACUUUGAAAAGAGAGUUAAAAAGUACGUGAAAUUGUUGAAAGGGAAGCGUUUAUGACCAGACUUGGGCUUGGUUAAUCAUCUGGGGUUCUCCCCAGUGCACUUUUCCAGUCCAGGCCAGCAUCAGUUUUCGCCGGGGGAUAAAGGCUUCGGGAAUGUGGCUCU
Molecule: small RNA, 995 nt
Filed under: Fusarium incarnatum
Lineage: Eukaryota; Fungi; Ascomycota; Sordariomycetes; Hypocreales; Nectriaceae
Description: eukaryotic LSU rRNA
Rfam family: Eukaryotic large subunit ribosomal RNA (bases 465-995)
Source: RNAcentral